AUGCUCUCUUUGGCAGCACAUUUACUCCAAUUGGAACAAUACAGAGAUUAGCAUGGCCCCUGCACAGAGAUGACAUGCAAAUUUGUGAUGCAUUCCAUAUUAAA
This is a small nuclear RNA of Lontra canadensis (Northern American river otter), 104 nucleotides long. The record is from RefSeq and is a predicted model, not a curated record. NCBI's taxonomy places the organism in Eukaryota, Metazoa, Chordata, Mammalia, Carnivora, Mustelidae.